Molecule: non-coding RNA, 654 nt
Organism: Styela clava
Lineage: Eukaryota; Metazoa; Chordata; Ascidiacea; Stolidobranchia; Styelidae
Source: RefSeq, a predicted model, not a curated record
CCAAAAUAUUGAAAAAAGAUGAAUUUUCCAAAAAUGUGACUUAGGCCCCUUGUGUUCUCAUCCGGCGAUAUGCAAGUCUAAUAAUGGUACAUGUUUUUAAAUCUAGUGCGUUGUAUUUGGGUGUAAAAUACAGUGUUGAGAAUGAAUGAAAUAAUGUCACCAUUACAAACAUAUUGUUGAAAUUUUUGACUCUAUAUAGCCUAUAUGUAGAUGUAUGAUAAUAUCACUCUAUGCUUUAAAAUCAUGAAGAGUUAGAAUCAAUACGUAUUACUUAUGUCUAGCCCUAGUGGAUUGGGAUAUAACUUAGUUUAGUAAAAUUCGUCUAUUUCAAUAUGACCUUGAUUGUAAGUCCAUUCCAAUGAUGAACUCUGGAUCAUCACUAGAUCACAGUUCGAAUGGAAGCUUUAAUUACACAAAAGCAAUGGCAGUGAUGGACUCUUUGUUACAGGAUUUUCAAUCUACAAAUACCAUUAGGUAGCAGAAAAGCUUGACAUUCAUCAGGUAGCAUGCCUACUGCUCCUGCCAAAUGAAGAAUUCCCAUUCAAAAAACAAAAAAGGCGUAACUUGACUUUCUCAUUACGACUGUAUUUAUUUGCGACCUUUAGUAGUCAAUUUCGCCGAAUAUUUACUGUUUUAAUAAAUUGUUUAAAUCUU